RNAcentral lists this ribosomal RNA (566 nucleotides) under uncultured bacterium. Its description in RNAcentral is "partial 16S ribosomal RNA". It matches the Rfam family "Bacterial small subunit ribosomal RNA", at positions 355 to 912 of the family's 1533-position model. The record is from RNAcentral.
UGGGGAAUUUUGGACAAUGGGCGAAAGCCUGAUCCAGCAAUGCCGCGUGUGUGAAGAAGGCCUUCGGGUUGUAAAGCACUUUUGUCCGGAAAGAAAUCCUUGGCUCUAAUACAGUCGGGGGAUGACGGUACCGGAAGAAUAAGCACCGGCUAACUACGUGCCAGCAGCCGCGGUAAUACGUAGGGUGCAAGCGUUAAUCGGAAUUACUGGGCGUAAAGCGUGCGCAGGCGGUUUGCUAAGACCGAUGUGAAAUCCCCGGGCUCAACCUGGGAACUGCAUUGGUGACUGGCAGGCUAGAGUAUGGCAGAGGGGGGUAGAAUUCCACGUGUAGCAGUGAAAUGCGUAGAGAUGUGGAGGAAUACCGAUGGCGAAGGCAGCCCCCUGGGCCAAUACUGACGCUCAUGCACGAAAGCGUGGGGAGCAAAACAGGAUUAGAUACCCCUGGUAGUCCACGCCCUAAACGAUGUCAACUAGUUGUUGGGGAUUCAUUUCCUUAGUAACGUAGCUAACGCGUGAAGUUGACCGCCUGGGGAGUACGGUCGCAAGAUUAAAACUUAAAGGAAUUG